Molecule: transfer RNA, 72 nt
Filed under: Patescibacteria group bacterium
Lineage: Bacteria
Also listed under: 2 other names
Description: tRNA-Glu
Rfam family: tRNA
About the family: Transfer RNA (tRNA) molecules are approximately 80 nucleotides in length.
Source: RNAcentral
GGCUCUAUCGUCUAGUGGUUAGGACGAAAGCUUCUCAAGCUUUAAACCGGAGUUCGAUUCUCCGUAGAGUCA